RNAcentral lists this ribosomal RNA (492 nucleotides) under uncultured bacterium. Its description in RNAcentral is "partial 16S ribosomal RNA". It matches the Rfam family "Bacterial small subunit ribosomal RNA", at positions 29 to 507 of the family's 1533-position model. The record is from RNAcentral.
AGUGAACGCUGGCGGUAGGCCUAACACAUGCAAGUCGAACGGCAGCACAGUAAGAGCUUGCUCUUACGGGUGGCGAGUGGCGGAUGUGUGAGGAAUACAUCGGAAUCUACUUUUUCGUGGGGGAUAACGUAGGUAAACUUACGCUAAUACCGCAUACUACCUACGAGUGAAAUCAGGGGAUCUUCGGACCUUGCGCGAUUGAAUGAGCCGAUGUCGGAUUAGCUAGUUGGCGGGGUAAAGAACCACCAAGGCGACGAUCCGUAGCUGGUCUGAGAGGAUGAUCAGCCACACUGGAACUGAGACACGGUCCAGACUCCUACGGGAGGCAGCAGUGGGGAAUAUUGGACAAUGGGCGCAAGCCUGAUCCAGCAAUACCGCGUGGGUGAAGAAGGCCUUCGGGUUGUAAAGCCCUUUUGUUGGGAAAGAAAAGCAGCAGGUUAAUACCCCGCUGUUCUGACGGUACCCAAAGAAUAAGCACCGGCUAACUUCGUG